Molecule: long non-coding RNA, 6198 nt
Filed under: Triticum aestivum (bread wheat)
Lineage: Eukaryota; Viridiplantae; Streptophyta; Magnoliopsida; Poales; Poaceae
Description: long non-coding RNA (TAES_LNC012023)
Source: RNAcentral
AACUAGUUCUUUCCCAAAUCGAACCCUAGAGAGCCCUCCUCCCCCACCGUCGCCGCCGCCGACACUCCCUCUGCCCUCGACCGCGCCCUCCACCACCGACCCCUCUGCCCUCGAAUGCGCCUUCCACCAUCGACCCCCUCCGCUGAUCUGUGCGACCUCCACCCAUGUCGAUGACGCCAGUGCGUAGAGGUCAACCUCGCCUCCCUCCACACGCCUUUGGUUUCGCUCCCUUUGGCACCGCCACAAGGACUGGUUGACGGGGCUGGUGCGUCGAGGUCGACACCGGCUUGCUUCCCACCAUGUCUCCCGCCACCCUGACGACGAGCACGGUGUCUGCUCCACACUACCCUAGUACAACAUGGUGCUCAGAUCUGUCAUGGAGGAAACGCGAUGCAGGUGUGAUUUUUCCAUACAAAGAAGCUCUCCUUUUCUGCUUGAUGAAAACUCACAAGAUGCUAUCGCGUUAUCUUCUAUCUUCUCCUUGCUGCACAUUUUCCCUACCUUCCACCGAGUCAGUACUUGGAUCCAAGUCUUUCUUAUUGCUACUUAUUUUUAUUUUGCUACUAAAUUGAUGCAGGUGCUACCAGUGAAAGGAUUGGAGAUUGGUUCUAGUAGUUGUAGGUUCGUUUGGAAUUCAUAAUGCUCAUGAUUUGCAAAGCCUAUCAGCCAGGUUAUUGUACCCUUACUCUUGUAUUUCAUUUUCUUAUCUUAAUAUGCAUGUAUAUGUGCCUAUGAUUUGUAAAAUGUAAUGUUCUUCUAUCCAACCAAUUUUAGUGACAUGGACGGGUCUUUGUUUAUUCAGGUUCAGACAUUGCACAACUGAAGGAAAGUGUUUCACAGCUUGAGAAAGUUCACUCACUAAUGGCUGACUGUAUACAACUCUAGAAAGUUUCUUGUGUUAGCAUCUACAAGAACUAAAUUAUUGACAUGAGUUGAUAUUGAAAAUUGCUCUACAAAAUUAACUACUUUUCCUUCCCUGAUUUAUCAUCUACCAAAUUGUUACACUAUCAAAGCAGGCAGUUCAAUGGUGCCCUAUCUGAAUACUCAACCUGCAUGAAACAUUGCACUGGGCAGAAAAAUAAUUGUAGAAAGGAAUGCCAUAAGUGGCUGGCACUGCCAUAAGGCUAUCACACACUGCACUAAAUUGGGCUUGUUGGACCAUGCAGGGCAUCUAUGCCAGAUAAUAGAAGCCCUGCAAGGCCCAACACGAAUAUAGUUUGCUUGUGAUGAGGGGUCGAUUUUCUGAGUUGCAGCCUCAAUAAUUUGCAUCUUAUGAUCCAGAAAAGGAAAGAAAAACAAUCUGUUUCUUACCGUGUUGGUUGGUUGGCUACACGCACAUUUCCUAUGAACCAUGCCUUAAUAAUCAAGCCACCACUGUAAUCUCACAUCGUGAUCAGUCCUCCCUUGAUGAAGUAGCAUACCGACAAGUUACAUAAUUUUCUGAAGUUCCUGGAAUAUUUUUUUGAUGCUGCCUUCUUCGAUACACUUUAUUCUAAAUCAUUGGCUGAUCUAAGCUCUUUUUUCACCAGAACACGUUGAUGCAUAGCAUUAAAUGCUUGCCUAAAAGAGUCCACAGCUCCUUGCGCUCAAGAAUUAUAUUGUCUGACCUCCUAAGGGUCGUUGAGGAGUUGGCAUAUAAUAGCAGCGACACAAACACUUAAAAAGGUAUUCCUUUCACAUGUAGGAAAAAUAAUUUCUAUAUGUUAUGGAUGAGGUAUGGGGGGCAGUUUAUCUUGGUAGUUAAGUCUUGGAUUUAGUAUUUUCCUUUCGGAUACAUGCUUGUUGCUAUUUCAGAACAUUGAAACUUUAUUUUGAAUUUUGUUUCCUAUAUGCUUCAUGUAAAUGAAACUGCAGUAAAGAUACGAACUAUGCUUGUCCUGAAUGUGCUUAUCCUUUUUAUGCAUAUAAUUAGUGGAACCUUUGACAUGUAUGGAACUAAGCUUUUGCUUGUCUUGUGUACUCUAAAGCUUAGUCUUUUGUUAUUGGGCCAGUACUUGAAACAGUGUCUUGGUCUGCCAGUCGUAGAGUCAUUUAUGAAUAGCAUAGGUGUUGCCUUCAUUUGUGUUCCUAUGCAUAGUCCAAUACUUCUUUUUCCUUAAUCUAAUACUCCUUUUUCCUUAAGACAAGCAAAAUGGAAUCACAUCCUCGAUUAUCUCUAUGGUCCUGCAUCAUCUUUCAUAGACUAAUUAAGUUAUAACCGACUUGCAUUGUUUAGGGGAAAUGUACCUUUCCAUGUGUAAAGUGGUUAGACCUGGCAUUACUGUUCAAUAUUUUGUACUCAACAGGAAUCUUGCUAUAGAUACACACUAGAAGUCUAAAAUCAAUACUAGUGGAAAUAGGUGUUCUGUCAACUACGCGUCCAUUUUGUUGCAUGUCUCGAGCCACUCAAUUUGUGAUUAAAUAGGUGUUGUGCAUAUAAUUUUGCCAACUGAUUGACCAUGUAAGACUGGAAACAGCACCAUAUUUGUGACAUCUAACUUUUCUUUAUGACAUCCAACUUGUUCUAUUUCUUGCAGAAAGUGCUAGUACAUUGGAUAAGAACAUUGGCACAUGUGACUGGGAGCCCAAAAGACUAGUAAGUAUGUUGUAAACCACUUCAACAUAACACCAAACAUUUUGGUUUCUAUACUACUGUCAUGUUCGUGCUGGAAAAAUGUUUGAAUUUUGCUGUUUUCCAUGGGAUGAAACUAUUUCAUAUCUUGAACUACAUUCUUUGUGUGCUUAUACCAAAAUACAAAAUCCGAUGAUGUCAAUAAUUCAUACAAGUUGUGGAUGUCACUUCCUUAGAUCACUUCCUAUUUUGUCUUAUGUGCAGUUUCCUGGACGGUGUUCUAUGGAAUCUUCACAUACAUGAAACUAAAAUUUAUAUCAUAGGUAAGCAUACGAUGUAAUUGUGGUGAACUAGAUGUGCAUCAUUUAUGUGUCAAUGCAUGAAACUGUUGACAUUUUUUAUUUUUCCAUUAAAUUGAAUAUUCAGUUGAUGCCUUGAAAGGAAAUUUGAUUAGAAAUUCUCUUGAUGUUGUAGACGUAUGUCUUAUAGAACAUGAAUGGUGCACUCAAUAAACUCUUUCGAGUUUUGUAAAUCAAUGUAAUGCGGAUAAUGUUUUAUUAUACAUGUGUUUUUCAAAUUUUCUCUUACUGUCCAGGUUGGAAAUGUUCCUGAAGACGGGUUAAGAUACCUUGUCGUAACCAUAUGCUUUGAGCUCACCUAGAAGACCUUACAAGCUUUACUCUUUGUUCUUGUUCCAUUCUGUACAACUUGGACGCCUUGAAACUGCAAAUACUAAAUUAUGAUGUAGAUCUUCACAUGUAAACAGUGAAUUGCAUAUGUUUGUAACAUUGUAAAUGUUUGAUGAACAGAAUUUAUAAUAUGAAUGUGAAGUACUUGUGCAGAUUCCUUCUGGUUUAUUUCAAUGGAUGCCUCGUCAUUGUGUAUCUAAAUGUAAAAUAAAUGAAGAAAUGCAAUACUAAAGUGUAAUAAUGAUAUAGAUUGGGAAAUAGGAUACCACUGGCAUAUUAUCUGCCGGGAAAACUAUUAACUGCCGGGAGAACAAGUCUGCCGAGAGAAUAGAAACUGCCAAGAGAAAUUGGAACAUGAGGGCAUACAAACUGCCGGGAGAUCUUUAUCUGUCGGGAAUUAUAAUCCCCGACAGUCAUUCUUCUGGCAGUUCUGUCUGCCGGGAGAAAACCAUUCCCGGCAGUUUGCCUGCCGUUCUAAGUCACUUCUCCCGGCAGUUUUUCUAUCCUUGCGUCAGUGUUGUGGUGUAGAGUCGUCAACCUCGCCUCCGUCCACACGCCUCUGGUUUCGCUCCCUUCGGCACCGCCACAAGGACUGGUUGACGGGGCCGGUGCGUCAAGGUGGACGUCUCCUUGCUUCCCACCACGUCUCCCGCCACCCUGACGACGAGCGCAGUGUCUGCUCCCCACUACGCUACUACAACAUGGUGUUCAGAUCUGUCAUGGAGGAAAUGCGAUGCAGGUGUGAUUUUUCAUUACAAAGAAGCUCUCCUUUUCUGCUUGAUAAAAACUCACAAGAUGCUGUCGCUUUAUCUUCUCCUUGCUGUACAUUUUCCCUACCUUCCACCGAGUCACUACUUGGCUCCAAGUCUUUCUUAUUGCUACUUAUUUUUAUUUUGCUACUAAAUUGAUGCAGGUGCUACCAGCGAAAGGAUUGGAGAUUGGUUCUAGUAGUUGUAGGUUUGUUUGGAAUUCAUAAUGCUCAUGAUUUGCAAAAGCUAUCAGCCAGGUUAUUGUACCCUUACUCUUGUAUUUCAUUUUCUUAUCUUAAUAUGCAUGUAUAUGUGCCUAUGAUUUGUAAAAUGUAAUGUUCUUCUAUCCAGCCAAUUUUAGUGACAUGGACGGGUCUUUGUUUAUUCAGGUUCAGCCAUUGCACAACUGAAGGCAAGUGUUUCACAGCUUGAGAAAGUUUACUCACUAAUGGCUGACUGUAUACAACUCUAGAAAGUUUCUUGUGCUAGCAUCUACAAGAACUAAAUUAUUGACAUGAGUUGAUAUUGAAAAUUGCUCUACAAAAUUAACUACUUUUCCUUCCCUGAUUUAUCAUCUACCAAAUUGUUUCAUUGCAGUUCAGUGGUGCCCUAUCUGAAUACUCAACCUGCAUGAAACAUUGCACUGGGCAGAAAAUAAUUUUAGAAAGGAAUGCCGUAAGUUGCUGGCAUUGCCAUCAGGCUAUCACACACUGCACUAAAUUGGGCUUGUUGGACCAUGCAGGGUCUGCACCAGAUAAUAGAAGCCCUGCAAGGGCCAACACGGCUAUGGUUUGCUUGUGAGGAGGGGUCGAUUUUCUGAGUUGCAGCCUAAAUAAUUUGUAUCUUAUGAUCCAGAAAAGGAAAGAAAAACAAUCUGUUUCUUACCGUGUUGGUUGGUUGGCUACACGCACAUUUCCUAUGAACCAUGCCUUAAUAGUCGAGCCGCCACUAUAAUCGCACAUCGUGAUCAGUCCUCCCUCGAUGAAGUAGCAUACCGACAAGUUAGUUAAUUUUCUGAAGUUCCUAGAAUAAUUUUUUGACGCUGCCUGCUUCGAUGCACUUUAUUCUUAACCAUUGGCUGAUCUAAGCUCUUUUUUUACCAGAACACGUCGAUGCAUAGCAUUAAACGCUUGCCCAAAAGAGUCCACAGCUCCCUGCGCUCAAGCAUUAUAUUGUCUGACCUCCUGAGGGUCGUUGAGGAGUUGGCAUAUAAUAGCUGCGACACAAAUGCUUAAAAGGUAUUCCUUUCACAUGUAGGAAAAAUAAUUUCUAUAUGUUAUGGAUGAGGUAUGGGGGGCAGUUUAUCUUGGUAGUUAAGUCUUGGAUUUAGUAUUUUCCUUUCAGAGACAUGCUUGUUGCUAUUUCAGAACAUUGAAACUUUAUUUCGAAUUUAGUUUCCUAUAUGCUUCAUGCAAAUGAAACUGCAAUAAAGAUACGAACUAUGCUUGUCCUGAAUGUGCUUAGCCUUUUUAUGCGUACAAUUAGUGGAACCUUUGACAUGUCCGGAACUAAGCUUUUGCAUGUCUUGUGUAUUCUAAAGCUUAGUCUUUUGUUAUUGGGCCAUUACUUGAAACAUUGUCUUGGUCUGCCAGUCGUAGAAUCAUUUAUGAGUAGCAUAGGUGUUGCCUUCAAUUGUAUUCCUAUGCAUAGUCCAAUACUUCUUUUUCCUUGAUCUAAUACUCCUUUUUCCUUAAGACAAGCAAAAUGGAUUCACAUCCUCGAUUAUCUCUAUGGUCCUACAUCAUCUUUCAUAGACUAAUUAAGUUAUAACCGGCUGGCAUUGUUUAGGAGAAAUGUACCUUUCCAUGUGCAAAGUGGUUAGACUUGGCAUUACUGUUCAAUAUUUUGUACUCAACAGGAAUCUUGCUAUAGAUACACACUAGUAGUCUAAAAUCAAUACUAGUAGAAACAUGUGUUCUGUCAACUACUCGCCCAUUUUGUUGCAUGUCUCGAGCCACUCAAUUUGUGAUUAAAUAGGUGUUCAGCAUAUAAUUUUGCCAACUGAUUGACCAUUUAAGACUGGAAACAGCACCAUAUUUGUGACAUCUAACUUUUCUUUAUGACAUCCAACUUGUUCUAUUUCUUGCAGAAAGUGCUAGUACAUUGGAUAAGAACAUUGGCACAUGUGACUGGGAGCCCAAAAGACUAGUAAGUAUGUUGUAAACCACUUCAACAUAACACCAAACAUUUUGGUUUCUAUACUACUGUC